AUAAUGGUGUCUUUAGACACCACCGAUAUUCUUUGAAGUUUAUUU
Molecule: non-coding RNA, 45 nt
Organism: Picea glauca (white spruce)
Lineage: Eukaryota; Viridiplantae; Streptophyta; Pinopsida; Pinales; Pinaceae
Source: Rfam